Molecule: non-coding RNA, 734 nt
Organism: Macaca mulatta (Rhesus monkey)
Lineage: Eukaryota; Metazoa; Chordata; Mammalia; Primates; Cercopithecidae
Source: RefSeq, a predicted model, not a curated record
AAAGCGCUUUGGAUAUUACUUCCGCUUCGCUUCCUCUGGGCAGGUCCAGCUUACUUGGACUGAAACUCGUGGGUCAGGUCUUUAGGACCUUCCUUUUCUUUCCUGUCUUUUCCAUUUUGUAAUCCUUGCUUAAUGAUUAACAAAGCUUUUGUUUUCUUAAUUUUUUUUUUUUUAAAUACACAUGGAGUCUUGUUCUCUUGCCCAGGUUGAUCUCGAACUCUCGAACUCAAGCGAUCCUCCUGCUCGGCCUCCCAAAGUGCUGGGGUUCCAGGCGUGAGCCACCGUGCCUGGCCUUAUUUUCUUUCUAAUUUUAUUUCCAGUAUUGCAUUAUUCUAAACCCCACAUUGACGAAUAUCAUCCACCUGCUCAGCAGCUAUAAAUGGUGGAGUUAGAUGAGGAAAUAGAUGUUAGAAUGGAGACCUGCCCAAUGUCAAACAACUAAGAAGCAGAACUGGAACGGGAACCUGACUUUCUCGGCAGCAACUUCAAUGCCUUCUUAUAGGUUCAUUAUUGUUGUUAUACUUUUAUUAUGCUUCUAUUGUGCUGUGUAAUUUGUUUUUAAAAAUUCAAAUUAGUUAACCUCUUGUAGACAGACAUUCAUUGAAAUACAUUUGUUGAGCACCUGUGUAAACUGCUCACCAUUUAGUUGGGAGAAAGGUAAAUAAACAAAGUUACAAAGACAAAACAUACUUUGCAAUUUGGAGACUUAAUAAAUGUUUUUGAUGACAGUGUGA